GCAAACUUGGUCAUUUAGAGGAAGUAAAAGUCGUAACAAGGUUUCCGUAGGUGAACCUGCGGAAGGAUCAUUACAGUGCUCGUCGGGACGUCUUCAUGUCCCGCACCUGCCCACCCGUGUCUACCUUCUCCUCUGUUGCUUUGGCGGGCCCGGCGGCCAGACAGUACCCAUCGUGUACUGCCUGCUCGCGACCGGUGGAUUGCCACGUCCUCACGUGGAACCUCUGGAUAGCGCCCGUCAGAGACUCAUCUGAACCCUUUUUGUGAAUGUAGUGCAGUCUGAGCUGAUUAGCAGAAAUGCAAGUCAAAAAACUUUCAACAACGGAUCUCUUGGUUCUGGCAUCGAUGAAGAACGCAGC
Molecule: unclassified non-coding RNA, 358 nt
Filed under: uncultured fungus
Lineage: Eukaryota; Fungi
Description: partial contains small subunit ribosomal RNA, internal transcribed spacer 1, and 5.8S ribosomal RNA
Rfam family: Eukaryotic small subunit ribosomal RNA (bases 1-73)
Source: RNAcentral